Molecule: ribosomal RNA, 405 nt
Filed under: uncultured bacterium
Lineage: Bacteria
Description: bacterial SSU rRNA
Rfam family: Bacterial small subunit ribosomal RNA
Source: RNAcentral
AUUGAACGCUGGCGGCGUGCUUAACACAUGCAAGUCGAUCGGUAACAGGUGUAGCAAUACAUGCUGACGAGAGGCGGACGGGUGAGUAAUGCUUGGGAAUCUGCCUAUUAGUGGGGGACAACCCGGGGAAACUCGGGCUAAUACCGCAUACGCUCUACGGAGGAAAAGCCGGGGACCGCAAGGCCUGGCGCUAAUAGAUGAGCCCAAGUCGGAUUAGCUAGUUGGUAGGUAACGGCCUACCAAGGCGACAAUCCGUAGCUGGUCUGAGAGGACGACCAGCCACACCGGAACUGAGACACGGUCCGGACUCCUACGGGAGGCAGCAGUGGGAAUAUUGGACAAUGGGGGCAACCCUGAUCCAGCGACGCCGCGUGGGUGAAGAAGGCCUAGCGGGUUGUAAAGCCC